AUUGAACGCUGGCGGAAUGCUUUACACAUGCAAGUCGAACGGCAGCACGGGGCAACCUGGUGGCGAGUGGCGAACGGGUGAGUAAUACAUCGGAACGUGCCCAAUCGUGGGGGAUAACGUAGCGAAAGUUACGCUAAUACCGCAUACGAUCUACGGAUGAAAGCGGGGGAUCGCAAGACCUCGCGCGAAUGGAGCGGCCGAUGUCAGAUUAGGUAGUUGGUGGGGUAAAGGCUCACCAAGCCAACGAUCUGUAGCUGGUCUGAGAGGACGACCAGCCACACUGGAACUGAGACACGGUCCAGACUCCUACGGGAGGCAGCAGUGGGGAAUUUUGGACAAUGGGCGAAAGCCUGAUCCAGCCAUUCCGCGUGCAGGAUGAAGGCCCUCGGGUUGUAAACUGCUUUUGUACGGAACGAAAAGGUCCUGGUUAAUACCUGGGGCUCAUGACGGUACCGUAAGAAUAAGCACCGGCUAACUACGUGCCAGCAGCCGCGGUAA
Molecule: ribosomal RNA, 498 nt
Filed under: uncultured bacterium
Lineage: Bacteria
Description: bacterial SSU rRNA
Rfam family: Bacterial small subunit ribosomal RNA
Source: RNAcentral